GACGAACGCUGGCGGCGUGCUUAACACAUGCAAGUCGAACGGAAAGGCCCUGCUUUUGUGGGGUGCUCGAGUGGCGAACGGGUGAGUAACACGUGUGUAACCUGCACUUAACUUUGGGAUAACUUCAGGAAACUGGGGAUAAUACCGGAUAGGAGAUACUGCUGCAUGGUGGGGGUUGGAAAGUUUCGGCGGUUGUGGAUGGACUCGAGGGUUAUCAGCUUGUUGGUGAAGUAGUGGCUGACCAAGUGUUUGAAGGGUAGCCGGCCUGGGAGGGUGACCGGGGUCAAGGGGACUGCGGUAGGGCGCAGACGGCAACGGUAGGCAGUAGGCGGGAAUAUGGCAGAAUGGGCGGGAGUCUGAGGCGGCAGCGCCGCGUGCGGAAUGACGGCUUUCGGGGUGUAAACCGCUUUCGCCUUAGAUGAAGCGUGAGUGACGGUAAUGAGUAAAGAAGCACCGGCUAACUACGUG
Molecule: ribosomal RNA, 468 nt
Filed under: uncultured bacterium
Lineage: Bacteria
Description: partial 16S ribosomal RNA
Rfam family: Bacterial small subunit ribosomal RNA
Source: RNAcentral